Molecule: ribosomal RNA, 984 nt
Filed under: Enterobacter cloacae
Lineage: Bacteria; Pseudomonadati; Pseudomonadota; Gammaproteobacteria; Enterobacterales; Enterobacteriaceae
Also listed under: 2 other names
Description: bacterial LSU rRNA
Rfam family: Bacterial large subunit ribosomal RNA
Source: RNAcentral
ACUAUAACGGUCCUAAGGUAGCGAAAUUCCUUGUCGGGUAAGUUCCGACCCGCACGAAAGGCGUAACGAUUUGGGCACUGUCUCAACGAGAGACUCGGUGAAAUCAUAGUACCUGUGAAGAUGCAGGUUACCCGCGACAGGACGGAAAGACCCCGUGGAGCUUUACUGUAGCCUGAUAUUGAAAUUCGGCACAGCUUGUACAGGAUAGGUAGGAGCCUUUGAAACGUGAGCGCUAGCUUACGUGGAGGCGUUGGUGGGAUACUACCCUAGCUGUGUUGGCUUUCUAACCCGCACCACUUAUCGUGGUGGGAGACAGUGUCAGGCGGGCAGUUUGACUGGGGCGGUCGCCUCCUAAAAGGUAACGGAGGCGCUCAAAGGUUCCCUCAGAAUGGUUGGAAAUCAUUCAUAGAGUGUAAAGGCAUAAGGGAGCUUGACUGCGAGACCUACAAGUCGAGCAGGGUCGAAAGACGGACUUAGUGAUCCGGUGGUUCCGCAUGGAAGGGCCAUCGCUCAACGGAUAAAAGCUACCCCGGGGAUAACAGGCUUAUCUCCCCCAAGAGUUCACAUCGACGGGGAGGUUUGGCACCUCGAUGUCGGCUCAUCGCAUCCUGGGGCUGUAGUCGGUCCCAAGGGUUGGGCUGUUCGCCCAUUAAAGCGGUACGCGAGCUGGGUUCAGAACGUCGUGAGACAGUUCGGUCCCUAUCCGUCGUGGGCGUAGGAAAUUUGAGAGGAGCUGUCCUUAGUACGAGAGGACCGGGAUGGACAUACCUCUGGUGUACCAGUUGUCGUGCCAACGGCAUAGCUGGGUAGCUAUGUAUGGACGGGAUAAGUGCUGAAAGCAUCUAAGCAUGAAGCCCCCCUCAAGAUGAGAUUUCCCAACUUCGGUUAUAAGAUCCCUCGAAGAUGACGAGGUUAAUAGGUUCGAGGUGGAAGCGUGGUGACACGUGGAGCUGACGAAUACUAAUCGAUCGAAGACUUAAUCAA